This is a non-coding RNA of Carica papaya (papaya), 943 nucleotides long. The record is from RefSeq and is a predicted model, not a curated record. NCBI's taxonomy places the organism in Eukaryota, Viridiplantae, Streptophyta, Magnoliopsida, Brassicales, Caricaceae.
CCCCAUGUAUGUAAAUUCGAAGAUCAAGUUAAAAGGAAAAAAGAUUUUGAGACUAAACUAUAAGAUAACACAGUUCUAGGACCAAAAUGGUAAUUAGCCCAAUUUUUUUAUUUGAAAUAAUUCUGCAAUAAUUCAUUGACAUGCUUGCAGGUGCGAUGUGUAUAGUUUUGGCGUCAUAUUGUGGGAGUUAGCUACCUCAUGUAUCCCAUGGAGAGGUUUGAAUCCAAUGCAGGUGGUUGGAGCAGUUGGCUUCCAAAAUAGGCGUCUUGAAAUUCCUGAGGAUGUGGAUCCAGGAGUUGCACAGAUAAUACGUGAAUGCUGGCAAACGGAGCCACAUUUGCGCCCUUCUUUUACGCAACUUAUGUACCGAAUCCGACGUCUUCAGCGUCUACUUGUUGAUAGAACAAACUUCAGAAAUCAAACUUCAGAGCAAUUGGAGUAAUAAGAGUGUAAGAAUAAUAGUUACAGAGUUGUUUCUCGGUUCGAAGAGCCAGAUCAACAAGAUUUUUUUUUCCCUCCUGUUUUGUUGCAAAGGAAGUUGAAGAAAAUACUGGAUUGGAAAGUGUGGGUUCAGUCGAAGUGGGGACUCAACACAUCCCAUUCAGAAAAGUGGAGAUCCUCUUUAGUCAAAGCAGCUGCACAAGAGCAGUUAAGGGGAUGCCACCUAAUGUUGUUGGUAUGAAAUUGUUGAUCAGUUUAAAUGUAAGAAAAAAAAAAAAAGGAAACAAAAGAAAGAGGAAAAGGAAACAAAAAGAAAAAACAAAGACAAAUAAUGACCAUUCACAUUACAGUUUGAGGUCUUAUUUGGGGUAAAAGCCAAUCCCAGUUCUAGAAUUGUAAACAUGUGAUCUCUGCAAGUUAUUGUGAAAAAAGAAAAAAGAAAUAUUUGCAUACAGUAUUUUCUCAACAUAUUACAAAAGAAAUUGGGUAGAGUUUAUAUCUA